GAUGAACGCUAGCUACAGGCUUAACACAUGCAAGUCGAGGGGAAACGGCAUUGAGUGCUUGCACUCUUUGGACGUCGACCGGCGCACGGGUGAGUAACGCGUAUCCAACCUUCCCAUUACUGUGGGAUAACCUGCCGAAAGGCAGACUAAUAUCGCAUAGUCUUCGAUGACGGCAUCAGAUUUGAAGUAAAGAUUUAUCGGUAAUGGAUGGGGAUGCGUCUGAUUAGCUUGUUGGCGGGGUAACGGCCCACCAAGGCGACGAUCAGUAGGGGUUCUGAGAGGAAGGUCCCCCACAUUGGAACUGAGACACGGUCCAAGCUCCUACGGGAGGCAGCAGUGAGGAAUAUUGGUCAAUGGGCGAGAGCCUGAACCAGCCAAGUAGCGUGCAGGAUGACGGCCCUAUGGGUUGUAAACUGCUUUUGUAUGGGGAUAAAGUCAGUCACGUGUGAUUGUUUGCAGGUACCAUACGAAUAAGGACCGGCUAAUUCCGUGCCAGCAGCCGCGGUAAUACGGAAGGUCCAGGCGUUAUCCGGAUUUAUUGGGUUUAAAGGGAGCGUAGGCCGGAGAUUAAGUGUGUUGUGAAAUGUAGACGCUCAACGUCUGACUUGCAGCGCAUACUGGUUUCCUUGAGUACGCACAACGUUGGCGGAAUUCGUCGUGUAGCGGUGAAAUGCUUAGAUAUGACGAAGAACUCCGAUUGCGAAGGCAGCUGACGGGAGCGCAACUGACGCUUAAGCUCGAAGGUGCGGGUAUCAAACAGG
This 761-nucleotide ribosomal RNA is filed under the name Prevotella melaninogenica. RNAcentral's name for it is "bacterial SSU rRNA". It matches the Rfam family "Bacterial small subunit ribosomal RNA", at positions 28 to 776 of the family's 1533-position model. The record is from RNAcentral. Lineage: Bacteria; Pseudomonadati; Bacteroidota; Bacteroidia; Bacteroidales; Prevotellaceae.